RNAcentral lists this ribosomal RNA (253 nucleotides) under uncultured bacterium. RNAcentral describes it as "partial 16S ribosomal RNA". It matches the Rfam family "Bacterial small subunit ribosomal RNA", at positions 524 to 776 of the family's 1533-position model. The record is from RNAcentral.
UACAGAGGGUGCGAGCGUUGUCCGGAAUCAUUGGGCGUAAAGCGCGUGUAGGCGGCUCGGUAAGUCUGUUCUGAAAGUCCAAGGCUCAACCUUGGGAUGCGGAUGGAUACUGCCGAGCUCGAGUCCGGAAGAGGCGAGUGGAAUUCCUGGUGUAGCGGUGAAAUGCGCAGAUAUCAGGAGGAACACCAAUGGCGAAGGCAGCUCGCUGGGACGUGACUGACGCUGAGACGCGAAAGCGUGGGGAGCAAACAGG